GACGAACGCUGGCGGCGCGCUUAACACAUGCAAGUCGAACGGAAAGGCCUGGCUUUUGUGGGGUGCUCGGGGUGCGAACGGGUGAGUAACAUGUGAGUAACGUGCCCUUGACUUUGGGAUAACUUCUGGAAACUGGGGCUAAUACCGGAUAUGAGCUCUUGCUGCAUGGGGGGGGUUGGAAAGUUUCGGCGGUUGGGGAUGGAGUCGGGGCUUAUCAGCGUGUCUGUGGGGUAGUGGCUUGCGUAGGCGUUGACGGGUAGCCGGCCUGAGAGGGUGGCCGGCCACAUUGGGCCUGGGCUACCGCCCAGACUCCUUCGGGAGGCAGCCGUGGGGAAUAUUGCCCUAUGGGCGGGAGCCUGAUGCAGCGACGCCGCGUGCGGGAUGACGGCCUUCGGGUUGUCAACCGCUUUCGCCUGUGACGAAGCGUGAGUGACGGUAAUGGGUAAAGAAGCACCGGCUAACUACGUG
Molecule: ribosomal RNA, 468 nt
Filed under: uncultured bacterium
Lineage: Bacteria
Description: partial 16S ribosomal RNA
Rfam family: Bacterial small subunit ribosomal RNA
Source: RNAcentral